Molecule: unclassified non-coding RNA, 350 nt
Filed under: soil metagenome
Description: partial contains 5.8S ribosomal RNA, internal transcribed spacer 2, and large subunit ribosomal RNA
Rfam family: 5.8S ribosomal RNA (bases 1-120)
Source: RNAcentral
GAUGAAGAACGUAGCGAAAUGCGAUAAGUAAUGCGAAUUGCAGAAUCCAGCGAGUCAUCGAAUCUUUGAACGCACAUUGCGCCCCCUGGCAUUCCGGGGGGCAUGCCUGUCCGAGCGUCAUUGCUGCCCUUCAAGCCCGGCUUGUGUGUUGGGUCGUCGUCCCCCCCGGGGGACGGGCCCGAAAGGCAGCGGCGGCACCGCGUCCGGUCCUCGAGCGUAUGGGGCUUUGUCACCCGCUCGAUUAGGGCCGGCCGGGCGCCAGCCGGCGUCUCCAACCUUUUAUUUUACCAGGUUGACCUCGGAUCAGGUAGGGAUACCCGCUGAACUUAAGCAUAUCAAUAAGCGGAGGA